This 479-nucleotide ribosomal RNA is filed under the name uncultured organism. RNAcentral describes it as "partial 16S ribosomal RNA". It matches the Rfam family "Bacterial small subunit ribosomal RNA", at positions 331 to 801 of the family's 1533-position model. The record is from RNAcentral.
GUACACUCCUACGGGAGGCAGCAGUGGGGAAUUUUGGACAAUGGGCGAAAGCCUGAUCCAGCAAUGCCGCGUGAGUGAAGAAGGCCUUCGGGUUGUAAAGCUCUUUUGUCAGGGAAGAAACGGUGAAAGCUAAUAUCUUUUGCUAAUGACGGUACCUGAAGAAUAAGCACCGGCUAACUACGUGCCAGCAGCCGCGGUAAUACGUAGGGUGCAAGCGUUAAUCGGAAUUACUGGGCGUAAAGCGUGCGCAGGCGGUUUUGUAAGUCUGAUGUGAAAUCCCCGGGCUCAACCUGGGAAUUGCAUUGGAGAAUGCAAGGCUAGAAUCUGGCAGAGGGGGGUAGAAUUCCACGUGUAGCAGUGAAAUGCGUAGAUAUGUGGAGGAACACCGAUGGCGAAGGCAGCCCCCUGGGUCAAGAUUGACGCUCAUGCACGAAAGCGUGGGGAGCAAACAGGAUUAGAAACCCUUGUAGUCCCAUGAU